GAUCCAUUAGCUCAAUGGUUAGAGCAUUGGUCUUAUGAGCCAAAGGUUGUGGGUUCGAGCCCCACAUGGAUCA
This 73-nucleotide transfer RNA is filed under the name Babesia bovis. It matches the Rfam family "tRNA". From Rfam's summary of the family: Transfer RNA (tRNA) molecules are approximately 80 nucleotides in length. Lineage: Eukaryota; Apicomplexa; Aconoidasida; Piroplasmida; Babesiidae. The record is from Rfam by way of RNAcentral. RNAcentral also lists the same sequence under 1 other name.